CUUAUCUCCAUUUUAUAAACGAUAAGCUAAGACCAAGAAGUGAGGCACUUUUUCCAGUGUUCGUGUGGCAUUCACAUCCCAGCCCCCAAAUCUCAUUGCUUUUUCCAUGAUUCAGCUCUCUCUCCACAUUUACCCACCUAUCAGAUUAGGAUGGAGGUGAAUCUACCCGUGUUACUCCCAAUUCCGCCUGCAGUACCUGACAUAGUGUCUGGGAUAUAACAAAACCUCACUACUUACAUGUUAUUGGUAUUGAUAUUCUUCUUAGGCAUUCUCAUCGCCUGUUUUUCAUUGCUUCACUGAACCAAUAAGACAAUUAUUCUGCAGGGAAUACUCAGAAGUUUCCUUUGAAAAAAAUUUCUGUGAGAGAUAAAGCACUACCAAGAUCCAUAACCUAUAAUAUUCCCCUCAUUUAUCUAUGGAUUUUUUAAUGCUUUCUACAGGUGGGUCAGAAUCAUGGAUGAAAUAUCAGCAAGCAAAGGAUGUGCCCUCAAAGAAAACAAACAAGGGUGAGCAUUUGCUGCAACACAGGGUGAAUUUUUACUUCUAUUGCCUUGAGGACAUUCAUUGGAAACAUCAUGUUGCACUUGAUGGAGACUCUCCUGAUGAAAAGGCAUCUUUAUGGUAAGAUAAUCUGGCAUAUAAGUAAAUCCCACCGGCUCACAACUUUGUAAGGUGCUGAAGAGGAUGAAGCUCCUUAUCCCUGAAAGACCAGUGUGUUUUUUUACGGAAUAUCUAAAGGUGUGGACCUGGGGAAAAUUUAAAAGGGCUGUGGGGGGAAGAUGGGACUGAGUGGGCCCUGGGGUCUAGAGAGAGAAAGUUAUAUAGGACACUCGUUUCAACAGCUAAGUCUGGAAGAGCUUCUGCAUAAUCUAAGGGAGCAAGUAAUUUAGAUUGAACUUCCACAUAAUCUCCACACUGUACUUUUCUGAGAUUUCCCUAACCAUCCAAUGGAGGUUCUUCUGUAACUGGUCUGAGGAGGACAGAGGUCCAGGGAGGUCUGGAGAAGAGACAGACCUUGCCUGUCUCUAAUUUUCUC
RNAcentral lists this long non-coding RNA (1036 nucleotides) under Felis catus (domestic cat). RNAcentral's name for it is "lncRNA (ENSFCAG00000049610.1)". Lineage: Eukaryota; Metazoa; Chordata; Mammalia; Carnivora; Felidae. The record is from RNAcentral.